UACAGAGGUCCCAAGCGUUGUUCGGAUUCACUGGGCGUAAAGGGUGCGUAGGUGGUGAGGUAAGUCGGAUGUGAAAUCUCCGAGCUCAACUCGGAAAUGGCAUUGGAAACUACCUUGCUCGAGGGUUGGAGGGGGGACUGGAAUGCUUGGUGUAGCAGUGAAAUGCGUAGAUAUCAAGCGGAACACCAGUGGCGAAGGCGAGUCCCUGGACAACUACUGACACUGAGGCACGAAAGCUAGGGGAGCAAACAGG
Molecule: ribosomal RNA, 253 nt
Filed under: uncultured bacterium
Lineage: Bacteria
Description: partial 16S ribosomal RNA
Rfam family: Bacterial small subunit ribosomal RNA
Source: RNAcentral